GCGCCGCCGGAGAAACCUGGGCUGAUAUCAGGAAAUACCCGAAAGUGAUAAACGAACUCCUCCGAUUGUUCUUUCUCCAGGCAGUACCCCGGCCGAGCCGCCAGAUGUCAGCACGAGGCUUUGUGCCUCGCUCCGCUCUCAGUGACUGCUCCAGUCGCCAAAUAGCACGAAGCUUUCCCGUACAAUCCCAGGCCCUGCUUCAGCCCAUCCGCCUCUCCCGCUCAGAAGACUUUUUUGGAAGUAUAUGAUGAGCAACCAUUGAGAUUGGAUGGAAAGCAUCAGCAGCACCAGGAAACUCUUGGCAUAUGGAUAGUCUGUUGAUAUCCAGAUGCCAUCCAGUGAAAGGGGAAGUGCAUGAAUCCAGGGGAGGCAAUGCAUGCAGCAGCUGCGCAGCUAUCAGAUCCCAGCCCUCUGCGAGCAGAAUCUGUCCUCCUCAGGGGAGUAAAUUUGCUCCCCCCACGUAAGUCUUUC
This 471-nucleotide long non-coding RNA is filed under the name Gallus gallus (chicken). RNAcentral's name for it is "long non-coding RNA NONGGAT003105". Lineage: Eukaryota; Metazoa; Chordata; Aves; Galliformes; Phasianidae. The record is from RNAcentral.